This 386-nucleotide unclassified non-coding RNA is filed under the name soil metagenome. RNAcentral's name for it is "partial contains 5.8S ribosomal RNA, internal transcribed spacer 2, and large subunit ribosomal RNA". The stretch from base 1 to 120 matches the Rfam family "5.8S ribosomal RNA", at positions 35 to 154 of the family's 154-position model. The record is from RNAcentral.
GAUGAAGAACGCAGCGAAAUGCGAUAAGUAAUGUGAAUUGCAGAAUUCAGUGAAUCAUCGAAUCUUUGAACGCACCUUGCGCUCCUUGGUAUUCCGAGGAGCAUGCCUGUUUGAGUGUCAUUACAUUCUCAAUCUCUACAACUUUGUGUUGUCUAGAUUGGAAGUGGGGGGCUCUUUGUGUGGAAUUGAAUUCCUCACUCCCCUUAAAUGUAUUAGCUGGAAUGCCUCUGCAUAUCUGACUCUCAGUGUGAUAAUUAUCUAUACUGUAGUUGUUGUAUGGAGGGUAUCUGCUUCAUCAGUCGUCGAAAGACAAUUCUAUAUGACCAUCUUGACCUCAAAUCAGGUAGGACUACCCGCUGAACUUAAGCAUAUCAAUAAGCGGAGGA